This 312-nucleotide small nuclear RNA is filed under the name Castor canadensis (American beaver). RNAcentral's name for it is "7SK RNA (ENSCCNG00000007540.1)". It matches the Rfam family "7SK RNA". Rfam says of the family: 7SK was discovered as an abundant small nuclear RNA in the mid-70s but a possible function has only recently been suggested. Two independent studies have found that 7SK RNA binds the CDK9/cyclin T complex (known as elongation factor P-TEFb). The record is from RNAcentral. Lineage: Eukaryota; Metazoa; Chordata; Mammalia; Rodentia; Castoridae.
GGAUGUGAGGGCGAUCUGGCUGUGACAUCUGUCAUCCCAUUGAUGGCCAGGGUUGAUUCGGCUUAUCUGGCUGGCUAGGCGGGUGUCCCCUUCCUCCCUCACUGCUCCAUGUGCAUCCCUCCUGAAGCUGCAUGCUCAGUGGAAGAGGACGACCAUCCCUGAUAGAGGAGGACCGUUCUUCGGUCAAGGGUAUACGAGUAGCUGCGCUCCCCUGCUAGAACCUCCAAACAAGCUCUCAAGAAUACAGAACAUGGAAAGAUCUCCUGUGCUCAUGCAUUGGUAGAAUUAACAUAGCAAAAAUGGCUAUACUAC